GAUGAACGCUGGCGGCGUGCCUAAUACAUGCAAGUCGAGCGAACAGAUGAGGAGCUUGCUCCUCUGACGUUAGCGGCGGACGGGUGAGUAACACGUGGAUAACCUACCUAUAAGACUGGGAUAAUUUCGGGAAACCGGAGCUAAUACCGGAUAAUAUAUUGAACCGCAUGGUUCAAUAGUGAGAGACGGUUUUUCUGUCACUUAUAGAUGGAUCUAUGCCGCAUUAUCUAGUUGGUAAGGUAACGGCUUAUCAAGGCAACGAUGCGUAGCCGACCUGAGAGGGUGAACGGCCACACUAGAACUGCGACACGGUCCAGAAGCCUACGGGAGGCCGCAGUAGGGAAUCUUGGGCAAUGGGCGAAAACCUGACAGAACAACGCCGCGUGAGUGAUGAAGGUCUUCGGAUCGUAAAACUCUGUUAUUAGGGAAGAACAAAUGUGUAAGUAACUAUGCACGUCUUGACGGUACCUAAUCAGAAAGCCACGGCUAACUACGUG
This 497-nucleotide ribosomal RNA is filed under the name uncultured bacterium. Its description in RNAcentral is "partial 16S ribosomal RNA". It matches the Rfam family "Bacterial small subunit ribosomal RNA", at positions 28 to 507 of the family's 1533-position model. The record is from RNAcentral.